This 497-nucleotide ribosomal RNA is filed under the name uncultured bacterium. Its description in RNAcentral is "partial 16S ribosomal RNA". It matches the Rfam family "Bacterial small subunit ribosomal RNA", at positions 28 to 507 of the family's 1533-position model. The record is from RNAcentral.
GACGAACGCUGGCGGCGUGCCUAAUACAUGCAAGUUGAGCGCUGAAGGGUGGUACUUGUUCCAACUGGAUGAGCAGCGAACGGGUGAGUAACGCGUGGGGAAUCUGCCUUUGAGCGGGGGACAACAUCUGGAAACGAAUGCUAAUACCGCAUAACAUCUUUAAACACAAGUUUUAAGUUUGUAAGAUGCAAUUGCAUCACCCAAUGAUUAUCCCGCGUUGUAUUAGGGAGUUGGUGAGGUAAAGGCCUACCAAGGCGAAGAUACAAUGACGACCUGAGAGGGUGAUGGGCCACAUUGGGGGGGAGACACGCCACAAACUCCAACGAGAGGGAGCAGUAGGGAUUUUUCGGCAAGGGGGGGAAGUCUGACCGGGCAAAGCCGCGUGAGUGUAAAGAGUUUUCGGAGCGUAAAAAACUGUUGUUAGAGGGGAGCAUUGGUGAGAAUGGAAAGCUCAUCAAUUGACGGGAACUUCACAGAAAGGCACGGCUAACUAAGGG